GACGAACGCUGGCGGCGUGCUUAACACAUGCAAGUCGAACGGAAAGGCCCUGCUUUUGUGGGGUGCUCGAGUGGCGAACGGGUGAGUAACACGUGAGUAACCUGCCCUUGACUUUGGGAUAACGUCAGGAAACUGGGGCUAAUACCGGAUAGGAGCUCCUGCUGCAUGGUGGGGGUUGGAAAGUUUCGGCGGUUGGGGAUGGACUCGCGGCUUAUCAGCUUGUUGGUGGGGUAGUGGCUUACCAAGGCUUUGACGGGUAGCCGGCCUGAGAGGGUGACCGGCCACCUUGGGCCUGAGAUACGGCGCAGACUCCUACGGGAGGCAGCAGUGGGGAAUAUUGUACAAUGGGCGGAAGCCUGAUGCAGCAACGCCGCGUGCGGGAUGACGGCCUGCGGGUUGUAAACCGCUUUCGCCUGUGACGAAGCGUGAGUGACGGUAAUGGGUAAAGAAGCACCGGCUAACUACGUG
RNAcentral lists this ribosomal RNA (468 nucleotides) under uncultured bacterium. Its description in RNAcentral is "partial 16S ribosomal RNA". It matches the Rfam family "Bacterial small subunit ribosomal RNA", at positions 28 to 507 of the family's 1533-position model. The record is from RNAcentral.